UCUACUAACUAGAACCUGGAGGGGCACAAAACAAAAUUGAGUGGGUCAGUACAACAAAGUUUUUCGAAAACAUUUCCUUUAAAACAUUUCUAGCCCAUCGCUGUAAAACCCGUAUACUUUCCCAGAAAAUAACAUAAUAAUAUAUAAACAUAUAUAUAUAUAUAUAUCAUCAAAAGCUCAAAUUAUAAUCCUUCAACGCUUUUCAGAAAGAAUAUGCCAUGCCAAGCCAUAUGCCAAAAUAUAAUGUGAAUGCAUCAAUAUAAUUCAGGUGAAAUAAUAAAUCAACCGGAGACCCUACAGUGGUUCUGUACGGCUGAUUCUAUAGCUCAAUAUCCCAUCCAGCCGGAGUCACCAACUGUGACCUGUACGGCCCUGUCGGAGUCACCAACUGUGACCUGUACGGCACUACACUGCACAUAAGUCGGAACUACCUAUAGUAGCCUGUACGACUAAGAUGGUGAAAUAAUACGCUCUAGUGCUUCUCUCAUUCAUCAUCUGUGCACAUAAUCUAAGGUCACCUACCAGUCGGAACCCUUCUAAUGGUUUGUACGACUGGCAUGUCGGAACCACCUCUAGUGGUCUGUACGACUAGUAGGUCGGAACCACCUCUAGUGGUCUGUACGACUAGCAUCUAUUUGGAUCCAAGGUGAGCGUAUGAUGCAGGGUGAAUAACAUAAGCACUAACACCAGGGGUGCAGGUUACGAGCUCAACAUAAUUCACAUCAUCAUUCAUUCAUAUAAACCAUAUAAACUCACCUGAUACUCACCUGUGCGUCCACAUCACCAAUUCACAUAUAUAUAUGCAUCAAUAUCAAUUCAUAUAAUUUAUAAUAUGCAUCAUGGCAAUUGAAAACAUACUUUCAUAUAAAUUCAAUUUCUGGGACAAUUAAUAGUAUAUAGGUAAUACAAAAACAAAAACUGCCUACUCACCUGAAGUUCGCCCAACAACUCCCUAGCACCACACAUCAAGGCGUCGUGAUGAUCAGCGCCUAGAACGAUAAUCAAAUCCAACCUCAUAAUUCAUAUCGAUAGAAUAUAUAACUUAUAUAAGACACGUCACUACGUAGUUCGAUCUGGAAGAUCUGCAACUCAGAUUUCAAAUCCAUAACUUCCAGAGGUCCACAAUAUACCUCUAGGACAUCAUCCUAAAAUUUCAUUACCAUCCAACGGUCGAAUCUCCGUCAAUUGUCAAAACCAAGUGACGGUUAACAUUCUAUUUUAUGAACUUACAACUCUAAUUCUGAAGGAUCCGUUAAUCGGAUUCCUGAUCCGUAAGUUCCUAUAAUCCUCAAAUAUUACGUAUUACAACGUAUCAAAGUUUGGUGACGAUCCGACGGUUGGAUCGUAAAUUCACAUUUUCACCUAACCACGAAUCGAAACGAACUUAGGUUCAAUUACUCAAUUUACGUCCAUCAAUUAUCAAAACUGAACCUAGAACCUUAAACACAUGCUAAGAAUGACAUUGGCGGCCCAUUG
This 1476-nucleotide long non-coding RNA is filed under the name Malus domestica (apple). Its description in RNAcentral is "long non-coding RNA (MDOM_LNC004376)". The record is from RNAcentral. Lineage: Eukaryota; Viridiplantae; Streptophyta; Magnoliopsida; Rosales; Rosaceae.